CCUACGGGGGGCAGCAGUAGGGAAUCUUCCACAAUGGACGAAAGUCUGAUGGAGCAACGCCGCGUGAGUGAUGAAGGGCUUCGGCUCGUAAAGCUGUGUUGGUAGUGAAGAAAGAUAGAGGUAGUAACUGGCAUUUAUUUGACGGUAAUUACUUAGAAAGUCACGUCUAACUACGUGCCAGCAGCCGCGGUAAUACGUAGGUGGCAAGCGUGGUCCGGAUUUAUUGGGCGUAAAGCGAGUGCAGGCGGUUCAAUAAGUCUGAUGUGAAAGACUUCGGCUCAACCGGAGAAUUGCAUGAGAAACUGGUGAACUUGAGUGCAGAAGAGGAAGGUGGAACUCGAGGUGUAGCGGUGGAAUGCGUAGAUAUAUGGAAGAACACCAGUGGCGAAGGCAGCUCUCUGGUCUGCAACUGACGCUGAGGCUCGAAAGCAUGGGUAGCGAACAGGAUUAGAUACCCUGGUAGUC
This 465-nucleotide ribosomal RNA is filed under the name uncultured bacterium. RNAcentral's name for it is "partial 16S ribosomal RNA". It matches the Rfam family "Bacterial small subunit ribosomal RNA", at positions 338 to 795 of the family's 1533-position model. The record is from RNAcentral.